RNAcentral lists this transfer RNA (72 nucleotides) under Patescibacteria group bacterium. Its description in RNAcentral is "tRNA-Thr". It matches the Rfam family "tRNA". From Rfam's summary of the family: Transfer RNA (tRNA) molecules are approximately 80 nucleotides in length. Their secondary structure includes four short double-helical elements and three loops (D, anti-codon, and T loops). The record is from RNAcentral.
GCCGAGAUAGCUCAGCGGUAGAGCAACGGUUUUGUAAACCGUAGGUCGUGGGUUCAAAUCCCUCUCUCGGCU